AAAUGACUCUCGGCAACGGAUAUCUCGGCUCACGCAUCGAUGAAGAACGUAGCAAAAUGCGAUACUUGGUGUGAAUUGCAGAAUCCCGUGAACCAUCGAGUUUUUGAACGCAAGUUGCGCCCGAAGCCAUCAGGUUGAGGGCACGCCUGCCUGGGCGUCACAC
RNAcentral lists this ribosomal RNA (163 nucleotides) under Chondrilla juncea. Its description in RNAcentral is "5.8S ribosomal RNA". It matches the Rfam family "5.8S ribosomal RNA". From Rfam's summary of the family: 5.8S ribosomal RNA (5.8S rRNA) is a component of the large subunit of the eukaryotic ribosome. It is transcribed by RNA polymerase I as part of the 45S precursor that also contains 18S and 28S rRNA. Lineage: Eukaryota; Viridiplantae; Streptophyta; Magnoliopsida; Asterales; Asteraceae. The record is from RNAcentral. RNAcentral also lists the same sequence under 1 other name.